AACGAACGCUGGCGGCAUGCCUAACACAUGCAAGUCGAACGAGACCUUCGGGUCUAGUGGCGCACGGGUGCGUAACGCGUGGGAACCUGCCCUUAGGUUCGGAAUAACUCCCCGAAAGGGGUGCUAAUACCGGAUAAUGUCUUCGGACCAAAGAUUUAUCGCCUUUGGAUGGGCCCGCGUUGGAUUAGCUAGUUGGUAGGGUAAAAGCCUACCAAGGCGACGAUCCAUAGCUGGUCUGAGAGGAUGAUCAGCCACACUGGGACUGAGACACGGCCCAGACUCCUACGGGAGGCAGCAGUGGGGAAUAUUGGACAAUGGGCGAAAGCCUGAUCCAGCAAUGCCGCGUGAGUGAUGAAGGCCUUAGGGUUGUAAAGCUCUUUUACCCGGGAUGAUAAUGACAGUACCGGGAGAAUAAGCUGCGGCUAACUCCGU
RNAcentral lists this ribosomal RNA (432 nucleotides) under uncultured bacterium. RNAcentral describes it as "partial 16S ribosomal RNA". It matches the Rfam family "Bacterial small subunit ribosomal RNA", at positions 29 to 506 of the family's 1533-position model. The record is from RNAcentral.